GAUGAAGAACGCAGCAAAAUGCGAUAAGUAAUGUGAAUUGCGGAAUUCAGUGAAUCAUCGAAUCUUUGAACGCACAUUGCGCCCGCCAGUAUUCUGGCGGGCAUGCCUGUUCGAGCGUCAUUUCAACCCUCAAGCACAGCUUGGUGUUGGGACUCGCGUUAAUUCGCGUUCCUCAAAUUGAUUGGCGGUCACGUCGAGCUUCCAUAGCGUAGUAGUAAAACCCUCGUUACUGGUAAUCGUCGCGGCCACGCCGUUAAACCCCAACUUCUGAAUGUUGACCUCGGAUCAGGUAGGAAUACCCGCUGAACUUAAGCAUAUCAAUAAGCGGAGGA
Molecule: unclassified non-coding RNA, 332 nt
Filed under: soil metagenome
Description: partial contains 5.8S ribosomal RNA, internal transcribed spacer 2, and large subunit ribosomal RNA
Rfam family: 5.8S ribosomal RNA (bases 1-120)
Source: RNAcentral